This is a long non-coding RNA of Urocitellus parryii (Arctic ground squirrel), 1051 nucleotides long. RefSeq lists it as uncharacterized. The record is from RefSeq and is a predicted model, not a curated record. Lineage: Eukaryota; Metazoa; Chordata; Mammalia; Rodentia; Sciuridae.
CUUCUUUGCAAAUACGAGAGGGACAUCCUGCAGUCCAGAACAGACAUGUCAUAGACAAACCCUCCACUAAAUCAAUAAAAAGGUUGUCCACUGCCUGCUUUUUCCUCCCAAGGAAGAAUUUUAAAAAUUUCAUCAGAUCAACAACAGCUAUGGCAGCAAACAUUUUUCAGCUGAGUCCUGCUGGGAUAACGGCUCUCCCAUGAUGCCAAGCGGCUCUGCUGUGAAGGACAGAAGUGAGGAUUUGCUUACGACAUCCAAAUAUGGUGAAUCCAUUUGCUCCGAGUUGACAAAUGAACUGGAGGUCCCAGGUUUCCUGAUUCAUCGYCUGUUGUCCCCAUUACCACCACCGCGUCUGACUGACUCACUGGUAUCUGCAAAUGUCAUUCCUCAGUCUGGAGACUGAGAUGUUCCACCCCCUCCCCCAUCAGAAGCCUAUUAAUUAUCUAUGGCCACACAAUCAAUCACCCUGAAUCUAAGGGACUUAAGAGCGUAAUGACAAAGGUUUCUUGGUCUGCAUCUUAGACAUCACAGUCCUGGGAACCACAGCGGGCCCCACAACAAAGAUGAAAGGGGAGAAAGAGGAUCUCACUAAUCGUCUCCAGAGCUGUAGCCCAGUGGGCGAAGGUCGUGAUAAAGGACGGGGCGGGAAGAGAUUAGAGGACCGCACAUGAAAGGGGUUGAAAAACAUCACCCAGUCACGAAGAAAAGAAAAUGSACCCCUGUUUCAGAGGGAGUCCCCACAACGUGCCCUUCCCUUUCGCAAUGACAUCAGAAGACUUUAUAUCAGACUGUUUUCUGUCAAAUGCUGGACCCCGACAGAUUCUGGCAUAUGGAAUGUGGUUUGUCUUUUAAUUCACUGGGGUUUUCUCACUCAGCUUCACCAAAUGGUGGCUGUAAUUAUGGCAGUAAAUGUCUCUCAAAUGACAGAUCUCUCUCUCUCUCUUUUUCUUCCUCCUUAAAAGAGUGAACAUUUUAACAAGGAUGUCGGGGAUAACAGAAAGAAACACACACUCCAAGGGCUUCUUAGACGGCAAGCCAUUUCACGACUCAG